UAGGGAAUCUUCGGCAAUGGACGAAAGUCUGACCGAGCAACGCCGCGUGAGUGAAGAAGGUUUUCGGAUCGUAAAACUCUGUUGUUAGAGAAGAACAAGGACGUUAGUAACUGAACGUCCCCUGACGGUAUCUAACCAGAAAGCCACGGCUAACUACGUGCCAGCAGCCGCGGUAAUACGUAGGUGGCAAGCGUUGUCCGGAUUUAUUGGGCGUAAAGCGAGCGCAGGCGGUUUCUUAAGUCUGAUGUGAAAGCCCCCGGCUCAACCGGGGAGGGUCAUUGGAAACUGGGAGGCUUGAGUGCAGAAGAGGGGAGUGGAAUUCCAUGUGUAGCGGUGAAAUGCGUAGAUAUAUGGAGGAACACCAGUGGCGAAGGCGGCUCUCUGGUCUGUAACUGACGCUGAGGCUCGAAAGCGGGGGGAGCAAACAGG
This 429-nucleotide ribosomal RNA is filed under the name Chloroflexota bacterium. RNAcentral describes it as "Chloroflexi bacterium partial 16S ribosomal RNA". It matches the Rfam family "Bacterial small subunit ribosomal RNA", at positions 355 to 776 of the family's 1533-position model. The record is from RNAcentral. Lineage: Bacteria; Bacillati; Chloroflexota.